AGCAACCUCUGCACUUGCCUGGCGUCGAGCCCCACGUGCAAGACCUGACGUGAACGUUUUGUUCGUUCGGCUCGCGUUAGGCAGGUCCAGCCUGUCG
This is a microRNA precursor of Chelonoidis abingdonii (Abingdon island giant tortoise), 97 nucleotides long. NCBI's taxonomy places the organism in Eukaryota, Metazoa, Chordata, Testudines, Testudinidae. The record is from Ensembl.